RNAcentral lists this non-coding RNA (45 nucleotides) under Schistosoma curassoni. Lineage: Eukaryota; Metazoa; Platyhelminthes; Trematoda; Strigeidida; Schistosomatidae. The record is from RNAcentral.
AUCCAGCUGACAAGUUUGAAAUAGGACGAAACACGAGUUCUGGAU